This is a non-coding RNA of Gossypium raimondii (Peruvian cotton), 87 nucleotides long. Lineage: Eukaryota; Viridiplantae; Streptophyta; Magnoliopsida; Malvales; Malvaceae. The record is from Rfam.
CACGUCAGCGCAAUUUGCUGACGUGGACACAGAUCGUGCUUACGUGGAUGCGAUUUGUUGCCACGUCAGCAAAUCGUGCCGACGUGG